GUGCUCACUUCAGCAGCAUAUAUAUUAGAAUUAGAGCAAUACAGAGAAGAUUAACACGGCUCCUGGGAAAGGAUCACAUCCAGAUUCCUGAAGGAUUCCAUAUUUUA
This is a small nuclear RNA of Talpa occidentalis (Iberian mole), 107 nucleotides long. Lineage: Eukaryota; Metazoa; Chordata; Mammalia; Eulipotyphla; Talpidae. The record is from RefSeq and is a predicted model, not a curated record.